CGCCUGGGGGCAGGGCGGGAGGGGCGGUCCUUGUGGAGCCUAGGAGCAGCUGCCCGGGCCGGGCGCGGUCGGGCAGCGCGGGGAGCGGUGUCCCCUCGCUGACGCCGCGCUGGCUGGGGUCUCGGUCCGGGUGAAGGCCGGGUGCGCGCGUGUGUCCUGAGCCUCCGUGCAGCAGGGCGGGCUGCGCACAGCCGGGGACUCUGAUUGAGCAGAGAAACCUCAAACCCAUCCGACGCAAACCGCGAUCUCCCUCCCGACUGGAGCUCCGGGCUGGGCUGGAAAUGCAUAGGGAGAGACAAGUUGCCAAUUGGUGUUAAAAAGUAGGGCUUGCUUUUCAGAAGUCUUUAUGCACCGUCUGAGAUUGCAGAGAAAUCUGCCUCCCUGGAGGGGCCGCCUCCCGCCCCGGGCAAGUGUGUGUUGUGGACUCGUAAGGUGGCUUCUCCGCGUGUGGGCUGCUGUUUUGUUUAAAAGCAAAAACGUCCAGGAGCCGCUGCCUGGAAUCUGCUGUUGGCCCUUGGAGGGUUUUCAGGGCUCAGCUUCCUGGUAGUAAAGUGUCCAUUUGAAAUCCCUUCCCAGUGUAGCUCCCCCUGAUGCUAAACUGACUCAGUGACUGGGAAACACUGGUCGGGGGGCAGCCCUCCUGCUGGUCCUCAGUCCUCCAGAGGAAGUAAUCCCGGGAGGAAGGAAGCUGAAUGAAUGUGCCUCUCCAAAAAAAAAAAAAAAAAAAAAAAGAACAGAAUUCCUGAUGAAGACCAGGUUUGGUGUAGUCAAAACUGAGUCUCUCUCCCAGCUAUCAUGGAAGUGAAGGAGAAGAGUGGCAAAGGAGACAGGUUGGAUUGGGAAGAUACAUGAGAAUGUACACAGUAGCAGGAGAAAUUUAAUAAGUGCUGGAAUUGUUUGGAUUUAUGAGUCUCAGACUCUUACUUGAUAUCAGCAAUUCUGCGAAGAGUUGAACCAUGAAACAUAAAGAGAAGAAAAAACACCAGCAGAAGAAACCCUUAAAACAACCUGUGAAAAAGUCAAGGGGUACAAGAGGAAAGUUGGAUUUACAAGAUGUUCUGCAGGGUAGAGCCAAGGUACUGGCCCAUACUCAAGGCCACAAAGUGGCGGACAGUUCUUCCUCACCCUCAGAGGACUUCUCUUAUAAAGACAAAUUCUUGGAUGCAGGUCCUGGAUCCUGCAAGAGGCUUUUAAAUCAAGAUUUGAUGGAGAAGGAGAAUUUCUCCUCCAUGGCACAUUCUCAUUUACCUUCCUCCUUGGCCAAUAACCCCCUAGAGUCUGCAACAUCUACUGAAAAGAAAAGAGUCCUGAAUGUCUACUAUCAGCCUGUCCCAAUGAAAAGGGGUACGGCUUCCUUGGGGGAUACAGAAGAUGAUUUGGAGCCCCCCACAAAGAUGACAAGAAUAGCAAGAAUGACCUUUCCUGAGAAGAUCCCUUCAAAAGCCAGCCUCUCUUCUGUGUGCCUAAGAGAUGUCCUAACUGACAGUGAAAAUGGCCUGCCCGGGGAAGGGCAAGAGGAAAGGGAAGAGGCUGAGAAUCUGGCCCGGGAUUCGGUGCUGGAGGACCUGUACAGUGGCUUCAGGUGCAUGGGCUGCGACCAGGUCUUCCCCAAUAUGCGGAUGCUUAAGAAACACCUGGAGGAUGGGGUUGAGGGUGGUGCUUCAUGCCUUAGUCUUGCAUUUGCCAAACUAAGGAACAAAAUGAAGCAAAGCAAGAGAAUCACAGAGGGGGAGGAUGGGAAUAUGACAACAUCUGGAGGUGAUAUGGAGACACUUGUGAUGUUCUUGUUACUUGUGGCUUUUUGUUUUUUCUUUUACUAUUAUAAUAAAUAGAAAUUAAAUCAUAUGUUUCCGGAAGUAAUAAAUUAGAGACAAUAACACAAGAGGACACCAGAAAACUUUUCCAUCCACAAAAUAGCAGAAAAAAUAAGCAUCUUCACAAGCUAAGCCUUUGGUUAGUUUUUUUCUUUCCAUCUCUGUUCUCUCACCCACAUCAGCCUGCUGUUUCCAGAAUGGGUCUCAAGGUUUGUAUUUACCUUUGGUUUAUUAUUUAUUUUCAUUAGUACAUGUUGGUAGUGCAUAAAGUUUACAGACCUGGGGAGCAAUUGGUACAGGUACGUAACACAUCUUACACUUCCUUUUUAUCAUCCCCUUUCCCUCUCCUCCCACCCCACCCUCUCCGUCUUUUGAUCUUUUCCCUGUUUAGAAAGAUUUAUCCCUCUUCUUCCUAUCAUCUAUCUUUAUUUUGCUCUUUAUUUAUACUUUGGGUUUCUCAUACAAAAAAAAAAUCCAUGUGAUAUGUAAGCUUAUGUGUCUGAUUUAUCUCACUGAACAUUAUGGUCUCAAGAUGCUUUAAUUUUUUUUUUACAAAUGACUCAAGUUUAUCAUUCCUUAUGGUAGAGUAGUACUCAAUUGUGUUUAAAAACCACAUUUAAUUUAUCUAUUCUUCUGUUGAUGGACAUAUGGGCUACUUCCAAUGUUUAGCUAUUAUGAAUUGUGUUGCUGUAUACAUGGGUCUGCAUGGGUCACUGUAAUGUCUUUGACUCUUUGCGAAGACAUCUAGAAGG
RNAcentral lists this long non-coding RNA (2566 nucleotides) under Heterocephalus glaber (naked mole-rat). Its description in RNAcentral is "lncRNA (ENSHGLG00100034547.1)". Lineage: Eukaryota; Metazoa; Chordata; Mammalia; Rodentia; Bathyergidae. The record is from RNAcentral.